RNAcentral lists this ribosomal RNA (253 nucleotides) under uncultured bacterium. Its description in RNAcentral is "partial 16S ribosomal RNA". It matches the Rfam family "Bacterial small subunit ribosomal RNA", at positions 524 to 776 of the family's 1533-position model. The record is from RNAcentral.
UACAGAGGGGGCAAGCGUUGUUCGGAAUUACUGGGCGUAAAGGGCGCGUAGGCGGCCUCCUAAGUCGAACGUGAAAUCCCCGGGCUCAACCCGGGAACUGCGUCCGAGACUGGAAGGCUCGAAUCCGGGAGAGGGAUGUGGAAUUCCAGGUGUAGCGGUGAAAUGCGUAGAUAUCUGGAGGAACAUCGGUGGCGAAGGCGGCAUCCUGGACCGGUAUUGACGCUGAGGCGCGAAAGCCAGGGGAGCAAACGGG